RNAcentral lists this ribosomal RNA (214 nucleotides) under Salmonella enterica subsp. enterica serovar Enteritidis. RNAcentral's name for it is "partial 23S ribosomal RNA". It matches the Rfam family "Bacterial large subunit ribosomal RNA", at positions 1109 to 1321 of the family's 2925-position model. Lineage: Bacteria; Pseudomonadati; Pseudomonadota; Gammaproteobacteria; Enterobacterales; Enterobacteriaceae. The record is from RNAcentral.
GAAGCAGCCAUCAUUUAAAGAAAGCGUAAUAGCUCACUGGUCGAGUCGGCCUGCGCGGAAGAUGUAACGGGGCUAAACCAUGCACCGAAGCUGCGGCAGCGACGCUUAUGCGUUGUUGGGUAGGGGAGCGUUCUGUAAGCCUGCGAAGGUGGCCUGUGAGGGUUGCUGGAGGUAUCAGAAGUGCGAAUGCUGACAUAAGUAACGAUAAAGCGGG